Non-coding RNA from Lolium perenne, 3644 nucleotides. NCBI's taxonomy places the organism in Eukaryota, Viridiplantae, Streptophyta, Magnoliopsida, Poales, Poaceae. The record is from RefSeq and is a predicted model, not a curated record.
UUCCUCCCGCACACAGCGCCCUGACGCCUCUCCUUUCCCUGUACCGAACAACAGGAAACCCUCGCGCAGCCGCCGCUCCUCCUUCGCAUAUCGUGCACCGCCGCUCGAAGACCCCUCCACCCCAGUGCUCGCCGACGACCCCUCGUGCGCAAACCUCCUUCCGCCGUUCCUUGUCCUCCGCGCGGUGCCACCGCUAGCGCCCCGUGCUCUCCACGAUCUGCAUCUCGCCGGCGGCCACGCCUUCACGGAGUUCCGUGACUCGGCGCCGUCCUCCGAGAGUACCGAUGGCGCCGCCAUGGACGAGGCCGGGGAGCUCGACUUCGAUGCCCGUUGACGGCCGUGGCGGCGCGCUGGUGCCACAUGGACGAUGCUCGUGCUGGCUCCGUCCUCCUGCCUCUCGCCUCCCUCCUCGGCCUCAUUUCAGUUCUCUUUUUUCAGUUCUUUUGUUGGGGUCAGGAAGAUCUGCUGCAGCUUAUAACGAAGGACCCCUUCAUAUUUCUCUACAGGAAGAAGCUACAGGCCGGUUUCUAGCUCUAUUGUUUCUGAAAGUCAGGCUGCAAGAUGCAAGUCUUGUGAGUGCUGCAAGAGAUACUGGAUCCAUUUGAAUGGAAAGGUCAAUUGUUUUGUCACGUACCUGGACAGAAAGUCUAGGCAUAGCAUGGUCAUACCAGAGAGCUUUUUGAACUAUUUUGUAUGGAAGUUGUCAAGAACCAUCAAACUAGAAGCCCAUGAUGAUAAUGUAUACGAUGUCGGAAUCACUGAGCUUAGAAACAAAACAAUACUCAGAUCUGGAUGGGAGGCAUUUGUCGAUGCCCAAUCAUAUAGCAGAGAAAGACUCGUUGAUGUUCCGAUACUGUGGAAGUGCUCGCUUCAAGGUCUUGUUCUUUGAUUCCAGUGGUUGUGAGAAAGUGGUGUUCUGUGCUCGCAUACAGAGCAAUAGUGGUGAGCAAGAACCAAGCACAUAUUCUUAGGACGUGGAGGAUCAGAUGGAUGCCAGAGUGGAAGCUCUAUCUAUUGAAGAAAACGAGCAAAGAAAGAUGCACUUUCUCCAUCCAGGUAUUUGUCAGGUUAACUUUACAACUGAUUUGCAAAUUUUUAUCACGUUAUGUCGUUAUAUGGUAGGAGUACUAUUUUACUGCAAUUGCUCUUACUUCUGAAGCUGUUUGAUUUAAGACAGUCCUCAUGAGGGUGACUCUGAUGAGUCGGAUGAACACACAAUCCAUUAGCUUUUUCUCAAAAUAGGAGUGUAUAGCCUAAUUAUCUUGAAAAAUACCCCAUCAUUAGCUUUCUUCUCAAGAUACAUUUGUUCUGAUAGAUAAUUGAAUAUUGUUGUUUGUGCAUGUUCCAUGAAAAUAAGCGAACGUAAAAUUUUCGAACCUAUUAUCUAAAGUACUUGCUCACCUAGACCAUCCGUAAUUUGAUAAUAAACAUUAUCUGGUUUCAUGCUCCAUGAUGCAUUUCAUACUAGAAAGCCUAUUUCACUUUGCAUGUAGCUUUCUUCACAUACUUGAUGUAAGAUAUCAUAGCAGAGUGCAUCUUACAUUUUGAUGUCUUAAAAGGCGUAUCAUCGCAAUGGUAAACUUUGUUGCAUCAUACUAGAAGAAUGACACCAUCGAGUUUCAAAAGAUCUUAAAGGUCAGUGUUCUUUAACAUAUGUUUUUCGCUUGACUGCAGCAAUCCUAAACCCUUCAUUUAUUUGUUCACUGAUUCUUCUAGAAUUGUUGCAACCAUUCUUUAUUAAAUCUUACAAACAGAGGUGUUAACGAUCACACAACAUGUUUGGCGCAUGCCAUAAACUUAUGUGGUACCGGGGAAAUGCUUCUUACGACCACCACCCCCACUAUUAUCCCCGAGUUAAGACCAGAUAUGAGGUUGAAUAUAAAUGUGUGGGAACUCAAUGAUAUGAAUCCAAACAUUUCAAAAGUUUUGAAAGUAAUGUUCCUUUGUCAAUAGCAGGCAAGAAGCUUCUGAUUAUUAGAAACAGUUUGACGGACUUCAACAACAAUGUCUACUAUCUUCCAUCCAUUUUGUCAUCAUGUUUCUUCGACUACUUUAAUGUCUAAUGAAAUAAAUAAAAAUACUUUUUUUUUGUAAGAAAGAGGGUAGCGCUGGGGCUAAAUACCAUUGUCUGUUAUUCUUACUGAAACUAAAGGUGCAACCAGCCCUUCAGGUAAUGGCAAAGGUCACCGCAAUUAGAUAAGAUGGGGGUAUAUUUGCAGAUGAUCUAGCUCAGUAUUCUAUAAAAUGUAACUUGAUUUACAUGUUGAUGUGAUAAUGCGGGUGUUGAAGAAUAUGAUUAGUCUCACCAGGUGUGAUGAGCAUAUGCACUUGCAUGUGUUAAAGAACAGUGUAUCUAAAAUAUUUUUGUUGAUCAAUCAUUAUUUUUGGCUUGCCUCUGAUUUAUGCUCUUUCUUGUGCUUUCUUAGUACCAGAGUUUUUUACGGUUUUUCCAUCGAUGAUAUUAUCAGUACAAACAUUUAGAAUGUUAAAAACCUCAUAUGGAACACUAUCCUGAACUUGGAUCCAUUUCUCUUGCAAGUGCGAAGAAAAUCCACUGUCUACAGUAUUGUCACAAUGCACAAAACUUGGCAGGGCACACUAGAUAUCUGGUGUAAUGGUGGAUUAUUGAGCAAUAAUAUUCAAGGUGAACAGUCUAAUAUUUCAUUCAUAUGUUAUUUUGAGAAAAUGGUUGUUAAAAAUAUGAUUAGCCCCACCAGGUUCGAUGGCCAUAUGCAUUUGCAGGUGUUGUAGAAAAAAAUGUUUAAUGUGCUCGGAGAGCAAUACCUGUAUACCUAUGAUGAGAUAAUAUAAUGGAUCGUACCUCAACUUCUUUACCAUGGUGUUUGGAAUUAUUUAGAACUUGUGUGUAACCUGCCAUCUAUGCAAGUUACUCAGGCACAACUAGCUCUAGAGGUUUUUCUUUUUCUAAUUUGUAUGCAUGCUAUUAUGUUUUUUUCAGCAAAUUAUUUAUCAUCGGAACUAACAUGGCUCCUGUUACGUAUUCACAAUACCAUGUUAGGCUUGUGACUUUUGAAGGGGUCAAGAUGUUAGGCUCGAACUUCACAUUCUGCAAUACCACAACUUCAAGGCGCUCAUCUGCUUUAUUUUACCAUGCCCUAUAAAUUAGUUUCCAUGAUUAGGCAUAGGUUUCCUUUUACUAGAGAUGAGGGAUCCCCGUGUUUCCUUUUUUACUGAUAUACCAAUCAGAUAUCGCUAAAAUGCUUGUGAUAAGUAUCUAUUUGAGGCUUCUUCUCAUUGCCACCGCUGUUUCUUGGAAAAAAAACACGUUUUUUUUUGCUUUAACCAUGAUGCUUGUUGGAGUUUUGGAGUCAAGUUCACUUGCUCGGGAGUUUAGCAAAGUGCAAGAAGCAACAAUCUCCAUUUUAAGGAUUAUUGGUACGAUAUCCAAGAUUUACAUAAGCUCAAAGGUAGGAACGAUACUAGACAGAGUGAAAGGGAAUAUAUAGAGUUGGAUCUUCACAUGUUUGUGCUUUAGGAUACCAUUUUGAAAUAUGCGUUUGGUUACAUGGAAAUAUAUGAGUAGUAACUCUUAUUGUUAGUUGUACGGUAAUUUUGAUAAGUUUAAGUUCAUGAAAGAAUACAACCAAAUCUUUUUUUAAUUCUCUAUAUAUAUUAAAUAUAGA